UACGUAGGUCCCGAGCGUUGUCCGGAUUUAUUGGGCGUAAAGCGAGCGCAGGCGGUUAAUUAAGUCUGGAGUUAAAGGCAGUGGCUGAACCAUUGUAUGCUUUGGAAACUGGUAAACUUGAGUGCAAGAGAGGAGAGUGGAAUUCCAUGUGUAGCGGUGAAAUGCGUAGAUAUAUGGAGGAACACCGGUGGCGAAAGCGGCUCUCUGGCCUGUAACUGACGCUGAGGCUCGAAAGCGUGGGGAGCGAACAGG
RNAcentral lists this ribosomal RNA (252 nucleotides) under uncultured bacterium. RNAcentral's name for it is "partial 16S ribosomal RNA". It matches the Rfam family "Bacterial small subunit ribosomal RNA", at positions 524 to 776 of the family's 1533-position model. The record is from RNAcentral.